RNAcentral lists this ribosomal RNA (1047 nucleotides) under Paramecium caudatum. RNAcentral's name for it is "SSU rRNA". It matches the Rfam family "Eukaryotic small subunit ribosomal RNA", at positions 116 to 1210 of the family's 1831-position model. Lineage: Eukaryota; Ciliophora; Oligohymenophorea; Peniculida; Parameciidae. The record is from RNAcentral.
UUUAUUCGAUAGUGCACAUUACAUGGAUAACCGUGGUAAUUCUAGAGCUAAUACAUGCGCAAAUACCGGACGCAAGAAUGGUAGCAUUUAUUAGAUUUAACCAUCACAUGGUGAAUCAUAGUAACUUGGCUGACCGCGUGUAAACGUGGUAAAUCGUUCAAGUUUCUGCCCUAUCAGCUUUCGAAGGUAGUGUAUUGGACUACCCUUGCUAUCACGGGUAACGGAGAAUUAGGGUUCGAUUCCGGAGAGGGAGCCUGAGAAACGGCUACCACAUCUAAGGAAGGCAGCAGGCGCGUAAAUUACCCAAUCCCGAUUCGGGGAGGUAGUGACAAGAAAUAACAACCUGGGCGGUUUUCCGUUCCGGGAUUGCAAUGAGAUAAGUCCAAAUCCGUAAACGAUUAACAAUUGGAGGGCAAGUCUGGUGCCAGCAGCCGCGGUAAUUCCAGCUCCAAUAGCGUAUACUUAAGUUGUUGCAGUUAAAAAGCUCGUAGUUGAAAUUCGAGUCUAUUGCUGUCUGGCUUCAGUCAGGCUGCUAAUAGGCUCUCCGUCUACAACCCCUUUCGAGCUCUCACGGGUUUCACUGGGUGAGUAGGCAAUUUACCUUGAAAAAAUUAGAGUGUUCAAAGCAGGCCUUGCUGGAAUACAUUAGCAUGGAAUAAUGGAAUAGGAUUUUUGCCCUUUGUUGGUUUUAGGACAGAAAUAAUGAUUAAUAGGGACAGUGGGUGGUAUUAGUAUUUAAUUGUCAGAGGUGAAAUUCUUGGAUUUAUUAAAGACUAACUUAUGCGAAAGCAUUUACCAAUGAUGUUUUCAUUAAUCAAGAACGAAAGUUAGGGGAUCAAAGACGAUCAGAUACCGUCGUAGUCUUAACUAUAAACUAUACCGACUCGAGAUCGGAAGGGUUAAUAUUUUGGCCCUUUCGGCAUCGUAAGAGAAAUCAAAGUCUUUGGGUUCUGGGGGGAGUAUGGUCGCAAGGCUGAAACUUAAAGGAAUUGACGGAAGGGCACCACCAGGAGUGGAGCCUGCGGCUUAAUUUGACUCAACACGGGG